GGGAAAAUAGCUCAGGCGUAGAGCAUCGGUUUCUUAACUCAAAGUUCGAGGGUUCGGUCCCCCGUUUCCCCG
This 72-nucleotide transfer RNA is filed under the name Aphanomyces astaci. It matches the Rfam family "tRNA". From Rfam's summary of the family: Transfer RNA (tRNA) molecules are approximately 80 nucleotides in length. Lineage: Eukaryota; Oomycota; Saprolegniomycetes; Saprolegniales; Verrucalvaceae. The record is from Rfam by way of RNAcentral.